UCCAAUCUGUUAGUAAAUAAUAUAUUUUAAAAUAAUAUAUUUUAAAAUGUACUCUAAUAAUAUAUUUUUAAAUGUACUCUAAAUAAUUACUUUGGGUUAUAAUUUUAAUCCAUUUAAGAUUUUAAUUAUUUAAUAUUUUUCUAAUGUCAAGUGAGUAAAGAAUGAAUAAAACAGGGCAGUCUAUAAUGAUGUGAUAUGAUGAUUCUUGAUUCCUCAAUAUUCUUUCAUAUUUCUAUAAUUAUUUAUUGUAAUUAUUUUUUACUUUUCACACAUGAGUAAAUUAUUUUGUAUAAUUCAGCCUAAACUGAUCUAGAAUAUUAGCAUAAUCUAAAAUAAAAUGGAAAUUCUUAAAAAUUCUUCAUUAGAACCAGUUUAUAAUGUAUAACUUUAACAGUUUAGCAGCCUAAAGUACUAAGAAUACUUAAAAAAAUUUAUAUAAAAACAUUUCUCUACAAUUUCCCCAAAUAAUAAUAGUUUGUUGCAAAAACAAUUUUAAAACAGCAUAUAUGUAUACAAUUUUUAUUUUGUUGAAAGCAAAACCAUAAGUUGCUGUUUAAUUUUUAAUAAUCUCAUACACUGGGUUACUAUAGAAGUGAAGGUGGGAUAAAAUAUCUCAUCUUCUUUAACUCCCUCAAUCACCCUGAAGUAGUUGCUUCUAAUAAAUAAUAAAUACAUACAUCUUGUAAUUCCACUUUCACUUUAUAACUCAGAUUGUCUCUAUUGAAAUCAUGCUUAGAUUUCUUUGCUACUUUAUUUAAAUUCCCAACUCUUAAAAAUGAUUGUUUCAGUUAUUGAUAGAUGCUAAUGAACCAUCCCCAAAUUUGGGGCUCUAUAAUGAUUGAUUAUUUCUCAUGAUUCUGGGGGUUGGGAAGUGUCUUUCUUGCUUUCAGUUAGGCUGGGAGCAGGUCUUUACUAGAUGAGAUUGUGUGACUGGGCUUCUUUCUCUUUAUCUCUUAGGUCUUUUAUCCUUGGUUCUUCAUGGCAAGAUGGAUGCAGGGUGGUGUUGCAAAUGGGUAUAAAGUGAGGUUGUGAAACAUUGUCAUUAUUGGCCAAAGCAAGUUACAAUGAUAGGCCAGAAUCAAGGAGCAUGGAAAUAGAUUUUACUUAUUUGUGGGUAGAUCUGCAAAGAAACUGUGGCCAUAUUUAAUGUACUCUAGUAAACUAGCCUUUAUUUUGGCAAUAUUACGUCUUCACUUUUACUUUUCUUUAUAUCUGAAGGUUGAAAUCUCAAGGAUUCCCAUUGCUGCCAAACUAACUGUGUGAUAUUGGUUGGAAAGUAUAUCUAAGAAAACAAUUGAGAACACACAGAGAUUCCAGGGAUAUCCUUGUACAGAAGAGAGGCCAUGUGAGGACACAGGGAAGGCAGCCAUCUACAAGUCAAGAACAGAGGGCUCAGAAACCAUAACUGCUGACACCUUCAUCUUUGACUUCUCGUGUCCAGAACUAGACGUGGAUGGACCUACAGUCUGUCAUCCAGAGUGAAGUAAAGCCUAUGGAAUACAGGGGAGAAAAAAUCACACUGUUUGGAAGGAAUUCUUUGGUGAUUAGAACUGUUAUCCAAACUUCACUCCAGUGUAAAAGAAGCUUAAGAUCUAUCAGGAAUAAGACAAGUCUACAACUUCAAAGGACGGCAUGCAAACCUGAAUACCAAGUAAAAUGCACAAUUGGAAGGAAUGACCUUGGGAGAAUAAAGAAAUACCCGAUUUAUCUGUCAUUGUGGGUCAAGACAAGAAAUGCAACAAGACACUCCUUUCAAAGUCCCAGAAGAGUUCCUUCCCAAAUAAUUGAUAUCACACAACAAAAUAUGUUUUGCUAUAAUUGCUGCAAUAAUGUGAGCGAUAACUAUAGCAUAAAUAAAUAUGCAUCUAUUCAAUAUUUUAGGUUUAAAACAUUUUUGUAUGUAGAGCUAUUUUUUAAAGUGCAUUACUUAUUCCUUACUUGUAGCAGAAUAUUUUCUAAGUGAUUUAAAAUCAUCUUAUUCAAAUAUUAUAAGUUAAUUAGAUAGGCAAUAUUACCGUUAUUUUACAGAUGAGUAAAUUGAGUUUUAUGGAAUUGAAGUAAUUUCCAAAGGUCAGACAGGUAGUAAAUAGCACAGCCAAAAUUCAGAGUUCAUGACUCCAAAACCCAAGUACUUUGAUAAGAUUUAUUACGCUGAACACAUGUAUAGCAUAAUACAUCAUUGUAUACCACAAAGAAAUAGUCAUUUUCUAAAAAUCAUUAGGGAAGGAUGUGUUUCCUGUUCAAGAGGAAAAUUUUUAUUUUUAAUAAUAAAGUAUAGCUCACUCUCCUAGUUGUGUGGGUGUGUAUCAGGAAUAUUAACUCAUUUUUCUAAAAUGAAAUAAUUUAUUGAGAAUAACUAAUUAAAAGUAAAACCUUAGCAAAAUUAUAUAGAUGUAAAUUACACAUUAACCCAAACAUACUCUACAUACAGAAACUUAAAGAGGUAAUAAAUUUUUUUUUGUAUAAACACCUAGUUUCUUUGCAUUAAAGAUCAGAUAAUAAUGGCCAGUUAAUAGUCAUCUGUAUAAGUGUCUCUUGUUUUGGUUCUUUUUAAGUUCAGGUUCGUCUUCUCUGUGCUAUAUGGAAUCUUCUUUAACUACCCACCUCUUCCCUCAGAUACCAAUGUCUUUUAGAAUCCUUUGAUAUAGAUGCGAACAGUCCCUAAUCUUUACAUUUACAGAAGUCCACAUUUGCCUUUUAAUCUCAGUAUUGCUCUCUCGCAAUAUAGUCUUUGUAAAGCUGGUUGUCUAGCUUAGAAUAAAUUUUAUUUGUCCAGCUAUUCUCUGUGACCUAAAUGUUUGUCACUUUUCUAUUUUCUUUCUGUGCUCUGCAUUUUCUAUCAUCCUUCAAAGAGAAUGGUAUUAUCCUGUUUCAUCUAAAAGGAUGGUCAUCUGUGUUUUAGGACAUGAGCUGAAAACAAAUGCAUAAUGUAAUGGUCCUCUGAGAAAACUUGCACAUCUCCUUAUACCUUACCACACAUGUCCAGAGCAGCUCCAGGUGUUGGUUGCCAUCCCUCAUUAUUAAAGAACUAAUGUAUCAUGUACCUCCUAAAAUGGUGAUGCCCACUAGAGUCACAGAGUGUGAGUUAGCAUUAGGGGUGGUGCUCUAGUGCAGUGUAAGGAAAGGACCCUGAAAUAACUGACAUUUAUGAGUAACUGAUUCAUUAGAAAUCAUUUAAAGAAUCAAUAUUCAAUUAAAUCCAUGAAAUCUCUAGACUCUAAGGAAGCGCUGCCCAAUAGAGCUUCUUGUGAUGAUAAAUGUCCUGUAGUCUACUCUGUUCAUCUGGUAGACAGUAACCACUUGUGGAUUCAUGCAUGACUAAAGUGACUGAAGAAUUUUUAAUAUUAUUUAAUUUUAAUUAAUUAAAAUGUAAAUAACCACAUAUGGCUAUUGGCUAUGUUAUUGGACAGUGCAACAAUAAGGGAUCUUACAAGUUGCUUCAAUUAACUUUCAAUUUCAAGGAUUGAAAUCCUCUGAAGGAUUCUCAAUUAUAGAUAUGUAUGAGGUUAUUAAAAAUCUUUAUUAGAUAUGAUAUUUAUUCAUUUUCUUACAAUUACCACAGAGGUGGCCGUUGUACUUUUUCAAUGAUAUAAGAAAUAUUUUUUUCAACUCGUAUUACCAAAUAUGUGUUCCAUGAGAUAUUUAGUUUUGAAUAAAUGUCAGUGAAACUUUUCCUUCUAAAACACAUUGUAAUUUUUACACGUAAAAAAAAAACACUUUUUAUAUUUUUGUUAAUGGCAUAUGAAAACAGAAAAUAAAUUCACAAAACAAAUCAAUUUGAAAUAAUAAAUAUUGAUAUAUGCAUUAAUGCACUUUGUUAUUAGCUACGCUAUAGUUGUAUGCAAUUGCUAUCACUGAAAUUUAAUGUCUCUUGUCUUAUAUUCUUAGGAAUUAUACUUAUGAUAAUAGUCAAAGUAUAUUAUAUAGAGAUCAUAUGCAUCACGCAGAUUAAUUUUUCAUGACUCGAUGAAUAAAAAAAGAGAGUUGCCAAAGUGAGAGACAAACAUUUGGACCUUAAAUUGCAUUUUCAAAGGAAAUGUCAAUUAUAUCAACAUUUUUCUCUGUAGAAAUGUGAUACUAAUUGAUAGAUUGACAGGCAUCAGAGGUAGGGGAACCAAACACAACCAUUAUUAUCAUAAAAUUCUUUAAAGACAAUGGUUUAGGAGGGUUUAAUGGGGCUGUUAAUAUGUUCUACCUGUUGCUCCCUCUCUGAGCCAAUUUGUAAGAUCCCAUCCACUGGGAAGUUGAGAUCUGCAGUUUCUUUCUACUAGCCCAAGGGUAAGGCGAAGAAACAAAAAUAAAGUCACAAGGUAGAUGGCUUUUAAAUAGAGCAGGUCCACGGGCCCAGGAGAACGUGGACCCAAGUCUGUCGUCACUAAGCAGGUAACUCAUUCCUCCUUUUUGGGGAAAAUUGACUAAGCAAUAGGUACAAGGCCAGGGACAAUUACACUAAAGACAUCCUUGGACACAGGAAUAAAAGGAUGUUACGGGUUAAAUUGUGUCCCCCCCCCCCCAAUAUGUUGAAGUCCUAACUCCUAGUACCUCAGAAUUUAACCUUAUUUGGAAAGAGAAUCUUUACAGAGGUAAUCAAGUUAAAGUGUGGUCAUUAGGGUGGGCCCUAAUCGAAUGUGACUGGGUCCUUAUAAAAAUGGGAAAUCUGAACACAGAAAUAGACAUACACAGAGGGAAGACUACGUGAAAAGACAGAAUGCCACAUGAAGAUUCACGUUACGCUGCCACAAACCAAGGAAUCUCUGGGGCUGCCAGGAGCUGGAAGGGGCAAGGAAGGAUCCUUCCCUAGCACCUUCAGAGGGAGCACGGCACUGCCUACACCUUGAUAGUGGAUUUCUAGCCUCUUGAACUGUGAGACAAUGAAUUAUUUGUUACACAGAAGUCCACAAAAACUAAUAAAGAGGUCAAAGAGAACUUCCCUAGGACCAAAGUAAAAAAUCAUACUUUUUGAUUAGUAAACAAAACAUGACCUAAGCUGUUCAAGGUGCAAACAUUAAAGACUUUUGGCAGCACCUCAAUCAAACACAUAUUUCAAAUAAAUUUCACUCUGUAUUACUUUGAUCCUUCCCUUUGCUGUCAUGUUUUUAUGAAGCUUGAAAAAGGUCUUAAUGGAUGUAGUCUGCUCUCUUGCUUAUCCAUGACUUAACCGCUAUGAUUACAUGUUUACCCUUGGAAGUGCUCAAAGCGGUUAGCCUACCAGGAUGACAGAGACUAACUCAUGCUAUGCUUGGGGUAUUUCAGGUGCAGAAUUAUGCUAUUCUAGCCUGAGGAUAGUUUCUAGAGAGAUGUUUAGCAGAACAAAAGAUAUGUCUUCUACUUAUAAUAUCUCAUCAAAUCAAAGAACCAACAUGUAGAAAUGGAAGGAAUGAAAGGAAUUGUGGAGAUUUUAGCAGCCAUAUUCUCUAGUAUCUCAUAUUCUAAAUUAUAUUCUCUUGCCCCCAUGUGACUUUCUAUUACUGAACAAUUUCUUUAGCUCUCUUCACAGUUAAACUAAAAAGAAUAUUCGUCAGCACGUCCCCACCUUCAAACCUCCAAUUACCAUACAACCGAAUACAAUCUGGUCUAUGCCACCACCAUUCCAUCUAAUCUAUUUGUCAAAAUCACCAAUUAUUUCAAUACUGUCAAGAUUAGGUACUGGAGGAUCUAGUUCCCAAUUAAAUUUCCAACCUCAUUUCAUUCCAUCUUCUCUCUCACUCCUUCAAAUCAAAUACACUGGACUCCUCCUGUUUGUUUUCUCUAACAUACCAAAACCUUUUCUUCUCUCUCUCUCUCUAGAAUGGACAUUACAUGGAAGCUCUUUCUCAAACUUCAGAUUCAGCUUAUAUUUCAGUCACCACAGCGAGUCCUUCCUAAUCGCCAUAGAAAAAUGUAGACCUUUUUUUUUCCACCUUAUUUAUCAUUGUUCUUUAACCAAUUCCCUCAGUGUCUACCACAACCUGAAGUUAUAUUUUUGUUUUCUUAUUAGUAUUUUAUGACUUCUAUUAUAUUGUAACCCACACAAGUGCAGAACAUAUAUUCUUCCUAAAAACAAUAUAACCUUAGUUCUAAUUCCAUUGGAUGGUACAUGAUAUAGUAAUAAGUAUUUAAUAAAUAAAUGUACUUUUCUUCUAGCUGCCAUUAAUAUAUGUCAAUUUCAUCAACUGUCAUCCCUGCGUUGCUUAAUUACAAAUUUUAGAUUUACAUGGGAGAGAGUUCUAUCUAGUCUAUUAUCAAUCUGCAUGGUCAAAGGGGGCAAUUCACAUAAAGGGGAUAUGACCCUCCUUUAAUGCGUUAUUUUCUUCUGGGGAAGAGAGAAAUGCUCCUAGCUACAAUGCGUCCACAAUGAGGAUUUACAACAUAGGACCAAAUACACUUUGGACAUUUUCUACAAGAAAAGAUUAAAUAUAGGCAAUGACUUACUGUUGCCUUUAAAAAUGAGUAUCUGAUUGAACAGCACUUUUCUGAAUAUUAAGAACUAUAUGAUGGAUAGAAAUAAUAGCAUUGCUGAAAAGAUACUGUGUGUAUAUUUCAAUUUAGAAGUGCAAAAAAAAAGGUGACUGCCUUCACUUUCUAAAGCUUUGUGUCCUAUUGCUGGCUGUGCAGGUGGGAUUCAUGAGGGAUGGAGAAAAAUUACACAUUGAAUUUUACUAAGGAAAGGCCAUGAAAGAACGUAACUGAGAGCAAACAGGCUCAGCACACUGCUUAAUAGGAAACAGAACAGAAGCGCUUUCUGUUUGCAGGUUCCCUGUAGCUAACGGGGUUGGAGUUUCUGUCUUUUCCCUGGUGCCACCACCACUACACACACAGACUCAUGUCUAAGUUUAUGAGCACACAUGUGCCACAUUAUGAGGGACUCAGAGCAUCUGCUUCCAUUCUUUUUCCUCUAAAUCACUCCCUCCAUUCAUCAGCUGGAAGGAUUUUUCUGGCUUUCUCUAAGCUGGCGGAUAUUCCAUUACACAUCAUAUCCUGUAGUUUAAUGAUGACAUAAAUACAUGUAUAGCCACAGACAGAGGUAGAGGCAUAAGCAUGGUUCUAGGUGUCAGUAUGUAAUCAGAAAUGGUUUCAUUUCAAAUUCCUAUUUUUGAAAUAAAAAGCUUAUAUUCCCUGUUUCUAUAUCUGCAGUCCAAUGUUCCCUAAGCCAGAGGGCAUUUCUAGUUGAAUACGGAUACAAUAUGAAAAUAUGUAUAAAAUAUACAUGAAUAUACUUAA
Long non-coding RNA from Orcinus orca (killer whale), 7200 nucleotides. RefSeq lists it as uncharacterized. The transcript has 5 exons. NCBI's taxonomy places the organism in Eukaryota, Metazoa, Chordata, Mammalia, Artiodactyla, Delphinidae. The record is from RefSeq and is a predicted model, not a curated record.